ACACUACUGAGGAGUCCCAAACAGGACGAAACAGCUGUCCAGUGC
This 45-nucleotide non-coding RNA is filed under the name Echinostoma caproni. Lineage: Eukaryota; Metazoa; Platyhelminthes; Trematoda; Plagiorchiida; Echinostomatidae. The record is from RNAcentral.